Molecule: non-coding RNA, 83 nt
Filed under: Stenotrophomonas maltophilia
Lineage: Bacteria; Pseudomonadati; Pseudomonadota; Gammaproteobacteria; Lysobacterales; Lysobacteraceae
Source: RNAcentral
UCCAUGGCGGGCGGUGCGUGGGGGCCUUCGGGCCCGCCGGUCUGGCAUUUACCGGUUUUCGAGCCACGCACCGUCCGCCACCU